CAGCAGCCGCGGGAAUACGAAGGGGGCUAGCGUUGUUCGGAUUUACUGGGCGUAAAGGGUGCGUAGGCGGAUUGUUAAGUCAGGGGUGAAAUCCCGAGGCUCAACCUCGGAACUGCCUUUGAUACUGGCGAUCUUGAGUCCGGGAGAGGUGAGUGGAACUGCGAGUGUAGAGGUGAAAUUCGUAGAUAUUCGGAAGAACACCAGUGGCGAAGGCGGCCCGCUGGACAAGUAUUGACGCUGAGGUGCGAAAGCGUGGGGAGCAAACAGGAUUAGAUACCCCGGUAGUCCCUGUCUCUUAUAA
RNAcentral lists this ribosomal RNA (301 nucleotides) under uncultured bacterium. RNAcentral's name for it is "partial 16S ribosomal RNA". It matches the Rfam family "Bacterial small subunit ribosomal RNA", at positions 509 to 809 of the family's 1533-position model. The record is from RNAcentral.